AGACAGUCAGUGCAAAUUCAGUUUAGUGAAAAGCAAGAAAUGACAGUUAGCUUCAGAGCUAGAUUUGGAAGAGAAAAAGAAGGAUUGGACUUUUGAGAUGAAUAAGAUAAAUGUAGAGAAAUAGGUUAUCUACAACUUCUAUAAAGGAAGUUUUGAGAGUUUAAGUGAAAAAAAUGGAGUAAACACAACCUGAACCUUCAGCUCAGAAAAAUUGACAGUUCUGUCAAUAUUGG
This 233-nucleotide long non-coding RNA is filed under the name Setaria italica (foxtail millet). Its description in RNAcentral is "long non-coding RNA (SITA_LNC003136)". The record is from RNAcentral. Lineage: Eukaryota; Viridiplantae; Streptophyta; Magnoliopsida; Poales; Poaceae.